This 411-nucleotide ribosomal RNA is filed under the name uncultured Synechococcus sp. RNAcentral describes it as "bacterial SSU rRNA". It matches the Rfam family "Bacterial small subunit ribosomal RNA", at positions 36 to 496 of the family's 1533-position model. The record is from RNAcentral. Lineage: Bacteria; Bacillati; Cyanobacteriota; Cyanophyceae; Synechococcales; Synechococcaceae.
CUGGCGGCGUGCUUACACAUGCAAGUCGAACGAACCUUCGGGUUAGUGGCGGACGGGUGAGUAACGCGUGGGAAUCUGCCCUCAGGAGGGGGAUAACGGCCGGAAACGGCCGCUAAUACCCCAUAUGCCGAGAGGUGAAAUGAAUUUCGCCUGAGGAUGAGCCCGCGUCUGAUUAGCUAGUUGGUGAGGUAAGAGCUCACCAAGGCAUCGAUCAGUAGCUGGUCUGAGAGGAUGAUCAGCCACACUGGGACUGAGACACGGCCCAGACUCCUACGGGAGGCAGCAGUGGGGAAUUUUCCGCAAUGGGCGAAAGCCUGACGGAGCAACGCCGCGUGAGGGAUGAAGGCCUCUGGGCUGUAAACCUCUUUUAUCAAGGAAGAAGAUCUGACGGUACUGAUGAAUAAGCCACGG